AGUCAGACCCGCGCGGGCGGCCGUUGGCCGGGCUGCGCGUUCUCGAGCCUGCCUAGGGGAGGGUGGCGCGCGCUGCCCCUUGCCGGCCAUCACGCGCUUUAAUCUCAGGUUAGUCUGGUGCCAGUGGAACGGGCCAGCCCCGGCAGGGCCACGCCGUGGAUGGGCCUCAGGCAGUCCCGCGUCGAGGCGGGCGAGAAGCUUAUAUGGAUAAAACUGUGCCUACUAAACAAUGGCAUCUUAUAGUAAAAAAUCCGUGGCAAAUGUGCAGCUCCUCCAUAACAGUGACCACUAAUAAGAGCAGUCUUCUCAACGAAAAUAUACGUAAGAUACUGCAGCCAUCCUGAGCUGGGAAUUCAGUUAUCUCCUUGGACAGCAUAGAUUUCCUCAAUGCCUGAUCCCCUAAGAAAGAUUGCAGGAGCCUAUGGGAGAGAGUGACUGCUGAGAUGCAAGAACUAAGCGAGGGUAUCCCCACCAGAUAUGCAGUAAGUAACCUGUCUCCCCACAUUUUCAUCAGCCUCUAUUCAUUUUUUAAAAACUAUUUUUAAGUGCAACUGUUCUUUAAGCUGUGUGCUUGUCCUGUUGACUACAGCGAGCAAGUAAUAGUCUGAAUAAGGCAGUCAUCAUUACUAACUCCCAUUCAAAUCAAAGGGAGCUAUGUCCAAGUAAGCACUGAAUACAAAGCGAGAAAGG
RNAcentral lists this long non-coding RNA (690 nucleotides) under Chelonoidis abingdonii (Abingdon island giant tortoise). RNAcentral's name for it is "lncRNA (ENSCABG00000001392.1)". The record is from RNAcentral. Lineage: Eukaryota; Metazoa; Chordata; Testudines; Testudinidae.